UUGCAUACACGCAGGCGCCGGCCUUCUUCUCGAGCAGUUUAAGGGGAAGUGGACACACACACACAGAACACACGCACGUACGCUCUCGAACGGCCUCCCAGUGAGACAGAGAGGCAGCGACAAUCCGCAAUUGGAUACGCCUUUCCACGCCCGAACCGCAACCGAACGGUCGGCAAGGAUAGACGGUGUUGUGACAGAACAGCCUCACAGUGACCAGUGUGUAACGGUAUGCCGAGCAGGGCGGUGUGUGUGUGUCUGUCUGUGUAUGCUGCUAUUCGUUCGCCGACACUGAGUGCUUUUCAGAGAGGAUUUUUUUUUUAUUUCGGGUGGAAUUUAAAAUAAGCGAUAAAGCGAUGUGUCAAAUAUGGAUAAUGUAGAACUCAAUCAAUUCGACAACUUAAGAGCAUGAAUUAAGGUCAAAUAUUGUCGAACCGGACCGAUCCUUCGAACCGGUACAGCGGAUAACGGAUGGCAGGAAGUGCACAUUGCGCUCUCGAAGGAAGAAGAGGAAGAAAAAACCAACCCAGCAAAAAGAAUCACACUGUAGCCCUUUCUAUCGCUGAAAUCCUUUCUCACUUGCCAACUGACAACAAAAAAAGAAGGUUGAAAAAAGGGGUCUCAAACGAUUGUAAUUAAUUAUAAUUUCUAGCCCGCUAUCUCGACUGCAGCAGACGUUUGUGUCGGUGUGGAUAAUUUCUUGUAUCGUCGCUAGAGCUGUUUGCUUCUUGGCCGUUUUUUUUUCUUUGGUGUCUUCCUUUUCUGCUCUCCAGUUGUUUUCCGUUGUUGGUCAUUAAAUUGUUCAUUUUGUCUGCUCUAGCUUCAUGUUGGUUCGUAAUAAAUGAUACACUAUUCGAUUUCGAAAGGGGACCACUGCACAUCGUAUUGGGAGGAUGAAAAUUGAAAUUUGUAAUUUUUAAUAAACAUUCACAGCAUUCGCAAGACGAGUUGGUGAGCGGCCAGGCUGCAUUCCAAUGCAAUAAACCUUGAACGCACAGAGUCUUGAACUGUUACCGGUUGCUAGGCAAUGAAGUGAAGAAAAUAGCUCCUCUGCAAUCAACUCGUACACAAAGACACAAUGCUUCAUUAUCACUGUCCGAUGGAUUUCCAGCGACUUUCGCCACCGCUGUCCCGUGUCCGAGGUCCGCACGGCGCAGAGCAAAGUCACCCCCGCUUUGUGACGAACAUCAUUAAUAGAAUGAUCACUUUAAUUAUUUACCAUAAAUUUUUCGGGAGCGCUUUUCCAUUAAUUUUCCACCCAGCGUGUAUCGGUACCGUGUAAAGCGUCAUCGCAGGGAACGACAGGAUUGAUAGAGUGAAUUUGAUGGCAAAAAAAGGCAAACGAUGGCGGCUGACCGAAGCUGGCUGGUGGUGUGCAUAAUUAAUUAUUAAACCCGCACCUUCAAUUACAGCUGAUCGAUUUUUCGGGCUACAACCACUCAAAUCAAAGCCCAGCAGGGGAUUGAGCGAUGUGACCAUACAAAAAAAAAA
Long non-coding RNA from Anopheles stephensi (Asian malaria mosquito), 1488 nucleotides. RefSeq lists it as uncharacterized. The record is from RefSeq and is a predicted model, not a curated record. NCBI's taxonomy places the organism in Eukaryota, Metazoa, Arthropoda, Insecta, Diptera, Culicidae. The transcript is spliced from 2 exons.